GAUGAACGCUGGCGGCGUGCUUAACACAUGCAAGUCGAACGAUGAAGCCCAGCUUGCUGGGUGUUUUAGUGGCGAACGGGUGAGUAACACGUGAGUAACCUGCCCUUAACUCUGGGAUAAGCCUGGGAAACUGGGUCUAAUACCGGAUAGGAGCGUCCACCGCAUGGUGGGUGUUGGAAAGAUUUAUCGGUUUUGGAUGGACUCUCGGCCUAUCAGCUUGUUGGUGAGGUAAUGGCUAACUAAGGCGACGACGGGUAGCCGGCCUGAGAGGGUGACCGGCCACACUGGGCCUGAGAGACGGACCAGAAUCCUACGGGAGGCAGCAGUGGGGAAUCUUGCGCAAUGGCGCCGAGCCUGAUGCAGCGACGCCGCGUGCGGGAUGACCGCUUUCGGGUUGUAAACAUCUUUCAGUAGGGAAGAAGCGAAAGUGACGGUACCUGCAGAAGAAGCCCCGGCUAACUACGUG
This 466-nucleotide ribosomal RNA is filed under the name uncultured bacterium. RNAcentral's name for it is "partial 16S ribosomal RNA". It matches the Rfam family "Bacterial small subunit ribosomal RNA", at positions 28 to 507 of the family's 1533-position model. The record is from RNAcentral.